RNAcentral lists this transfer RNA (71 nucleotides) under Saccoglossus kowalevskii. RNAcentral's name for it is "tRNA-Gly". It matches the Rfam family "tRNA". From Rfam's summary of the family: Transfer RNA (tRNA) molecules are approximately 80 nucleotides in length. Lineage: Eukaryota; Metazoa; Hemichordata; Enteropneusta; Harrimaniidae. The record is from RNAcentral.
GCAUUGUUGGUUCAGUGGUAGAAUUCUCGCCUGCCACGCGGGUGGCCUGGUUUCGAUUCCCGGCUAAUGCA